Molecule: ribosomal RNA, 232 nt
Filed under: Klebsiella variicola
Lineage: Bacteria; Pseudomonadati; Pseudomonadota; Gammaproteobacteria; Enterobacterales; Enterobacteriaceae
Description: partial 23S ribosomal RNA
Rfam family: Bacterial large subunit ribosomal RNA
Source: RNAcentral
AUAGUGGAGCCGCAGGGACACCGAGUCUUACCUGGGCGUUAAGUUGCAGGGUAUAGAACCGAAACCCGGUGAUCUAUCCAUGGGCAGGUUGAAGGUUGGGUAACACUAACUGGAGGACCGAACCGACUAUUGUUGAAAUAUUAGCGGAUGACUUGUGGCUGGGGGUGUAAGGCCAAUCAACCCGGGAGAUAGCUGGUUCUCCCCGAAAGCUAGUUAGGUAGCGCCUCGUGAC